GAUGAACGCUGGCGGCGUGCUUAACACAUGCAAGUCGAACGGAAAGGCCCAAGCUUGCUUGGGUACUCGAGUGGCGAACGGGUGAGUAACACGUGGGUGAUCUGCCCUGCACUUCGGGAUAAGCCUGGGAAACUGGGUCUAAUACCGGAUAGGACGAUGGUUUGGAUGCCAUUGUGGAAAGUUUUUUCGGUGUGGGAUGAGCUCGCGGCCUAUCAGCUUGUUGGUGGGGUAAUGGCCUACCAAGGCGUCGACGGGUAGCCGGCCUGAGAGGGGGGACGGCCACAUUGGGACUGAGAUACGGCCCAGACUCCUACGGGAGGCAGCAGUGGGGAAUAUUGCACAAUGGGCGCAAGCCUGAUGCAGCGACGCCGCGUGGGGGAUGACGGCCUUCGGGUUGUAAACUCCUUUCGCUAGGGACGAAGCGUUUUUGUGACGGUACCUGGAGAAGAAGCACCGGCUAACUACGUG
RNAcentral lists this ribosomal RNA (468 nucleotides) under uncultured bacterium. RNAcentral's name for it is "partial 16S ribosomal RNA". It matches the Rfam family "Bacterial small subunit ribosomal RNA", at positions 28 to 507 of the family's 1533-position model. The record is from RNAcentral.